RNAcentral lists this transfer RNA (82 nucleotides) under Dreissena polymorpha. It matches the Rfam family "tRNA". Rfam says of the family: Transfer RNA (tRNA) molecules are approximately 80 nucleotides in length. Their secondary structure includes four short double-helical elements and three loops (D, anti-codon, and T loops). The record is from Rfam by way of RNAcentral. Lineage: Eukaryota; Metazoa; Mollusca; Bivalvia; Myida; Dreissenidae.
GUUGUCUUGGCCGAGUGCUUAAGGCGAUGGACUGGAAAUCUUUUGGGAUCUUCCCGCGCAGGUUCGAAUCCUGUCGUCAUCG